CCUUUAAUAUGUUCUCACUUCUAAGGUGAAAAAUUAUGUGUGCAACACGAGAGCAAAGUUAUUUUACAUCUCGUGUUUUUGAGUCCCUCGCAAGAAAAACCAACUUUCCUCUCUUGUUGCACAAAUAACUAUUGGCGCGUUGUCUGAAUGGACGCUCGAGUUGGGCGUGCAGCGGGGCGGGGCGUGCGGCGUGCAUAUUAAACAAGUGCAAACGUAGAGGAGCGGCCUUAGUGCACGCUGCUCACAUCACUUGUGAGCCCGACGCCACGCUGCACGCCCCGCUGAACGCUCCGCUUCGAGGCCUGAGCCUUACACUAAUGGUGAUGAAUACAGCCUACCACGAGGCAGCUUACUACUUAAUUGUUCAGUCUACUUUUGUGUUCUAUUGAAAAAGCCUGGGAUAACUGAUUUUGUCUCACUAAAUAAAGUAAUUGUACUUUUUUACCUAUUGUAAGAUCAAAAUAGUAAGUUCUUUCAAAAAACGUUAUUUGUGGAUAUUUGUAUUGUAUGUUAUAUUAUAUCCCUAUAAUAGUUCGUAUUCAUUUUUAAAGUGGCCAUGAAAUAUUGCGGCUGGGUGGACCUAGGGUACCUAUUAUUUAUAAAGUUCCUACCUAUCCUACAUUCCUAUAGUCAUUCCCUAAACAUUUUGGCGGUAUAAUAAUUAUUUACCCUAUGUCUUUAUUAGCUGGUAAAGCAAAUGAUUGUACUUAUACUAGAGUCUUUUGUUUCCCAUAAAGUUUUGUCGUAAUGUAUUGUUUGUCCGCAUUUUCGUUAGUCAUAAUUUGGUUUCUCAGAAACUCGUAACUUUUCAGGAUUGCCAUAAAACAAACCUAGCCUAACCUAUCUAUAAGAUAACUUUACGAAAAAACUGAAAAGUUAACGGUUUCAGAAUUAUGACUAAUGAUAAUCUGACCAUCAUUACAUUAUGACUUUCAAUAAUUAUGUCAAACAAAGGGAUCCGACUUAUACUAUGAUAAAAACCGUGACUUUCACGAAUUGGAUAAAAUGGUAUUGCUUUAUUUCUUAAAAUCAUAUAUCCGAGUAAUGUUUUGUAGGUACAUAAGUAGGUACCUACCUACGUAGUGUCAUGUUCUAAUCCCACACUCCCUAUAUUCAUUCCCUUAAAAAUACGUAUGAUACGUACCUACGCUGCAUACUUAUUUGACUUCCCCUUCAAACAAAUUUCUAUGCAGGGGGGUCAGAUCUCUGCAGCUGACAUGUACAUCUUUUCAGAACAAUCGUGUUUUUGCCUUUGCCUUACCUGUGUUUUUGGAUAAAAUAUGAGAAGGGGCGUUCCAGAGAAGUGUGGAGAGUACGUGGCGCAAUUUUUUUAACACUUCUGAUAAAGUUAAGAAGCCGAUAUUUGACAUGAUAACGUUUGAUAACCUAGCUUAACCCUUAAAUGCAUGAUUUUUUGUAUAACUUUUUAAUAAAUUGAAAUAGAUGUGUCAUGUUGUAUAGAUUGAGGGAAAAAUAAAGAAAAAAAUCAUAGUAUUUAAAAAAACAUAUAUUUUUUACGAUGCAUAUAUACAUCAUUAUGCAUUUAAGGGUUAAAUUCAACGGUAUAUAAUACAGAUUUCUGCAGGUUGGUAGCUGCCAUAAUAUGCGUCACGUCUCCUACAGAAUAGACCAUUUUGUGAAAUGCCCCUGAAUGCCUUUAAUUAUGGUACCUACAGUGUUUGUGCUUAAGAAUAAUGUGUUUUUGAAAUGUUACUUACAUAUAAAUUAUAUCAUCAUUGUGAAAAUUAUUUAUAAUGUAAUAAUGCCGGUAUGCCACCUUUUCACGGCACCCAUCUUGAACCAAUUUUGAGUGUCAACUCAUCAACUGUUUGCGAUUGACUGUACAUAAGUGUUAUAUAGUUUGUAAAUAUUCUGAUAUAUUUUUUAACUCAGUCGUACUUGUUUUUAGUUGUUUAAGUCAGAAAGGGAGACGUUUCAUUUCUGAUUACAACCUAGGGUGAAUUAGGGCACUACUGGUCAUUUUCCCUGAUUCGCCAUUUUAACGAAAAUGGCGAUGGAAAUUGACGAAUCAAAGAUUUUGAUGGCAUUGACAAAUUAGUGAAACUGACAAUUAACGAAAAUGGCGAAUCUCUCCCUAAGGUGAACUCCCUGGGUGACUGCUAUAGUUAUUGCCCCCUCCAUAGUUAUUGGCAACUCUUAACAAGCCAAAUAGAAAUAAAGAAACAAGGCAAAAGUCUUAUUGUUAAGAGUGGUCAAUUACUAUGGAGGGGCCAAGAAUUAUAACAGUCACCCUACUUAUUAAUACUUAGACACUUUUUUGCGCUUAAGUAUGUAAUAACGAAAAUCGAAAAUUAUUGCUUUUUUCUAAAAGUUUGUCACUGUCAAAAAUUAUAUAUUACGUAGCUCUGUUUACAAAAUUAAAUAUAAUUGGUCAAACCAAAUUAUAUAUUAUUUAUUAAGUAAGGAAACUAAUGUUCGGAGUGAGCAAUGAACACAAAUUGUAUAGGAUUUAAAAUUUUAUGAAAUAAUAUGUUCUUUUUCAUUUCCUUUCUAAACAAAAAUCGCUGAGCUCUAAGGCGGUUAAUUUAAUAUGACAUAGAACUAUAUCCAUAUUCUUCGAAUUGUGUAAAAUCAUGAAAAAUGUUUUCAUAAAUAAUUGUAUGCAUUUUCAUAGCUGUAGGUGUGUUUGACAAGAACAAACUUGAUAGUUUUAUAACAUAGCUCCGUGUGACACGUCGUGCUCAAGUAUCAAGUAAGGUGGUCAAAUCUUAUCACAUUGGAUGCUUAAUUGCUUAUCCGCACUCCACUCCGGUGUGCGAGCGGGACAUUCGCUAUACAGGGUGAAAUUUUAACUACCGUUCAUACUCUGCGUAGUGACUUUAUAGGUCAUACCGAGCAACUUUUAUUAUAGGACCAAUGCCGACAUCGCGAAUAAAAUUUUGGCUGUCCCAUAGAAAUCAGCGGCUGAUGUGAUCAUCAGCCGGAAUGUAUGAAACAGCCAAAAAUUUUUCCGCGAUUUCGGCAUUGGUCCCAUAAUAAAAGUUGUUCAGUAUGAACCUAUAAAAUCACUACGUAGAGUAUGAACGGUGUGGUUAAAAUUUCAUACUGUAUACAGGCUGGCUAAAAAUAGGUGCAUUCCCGUUGCCAGGGAGGUUUGGGAUUAUACUGAGCAACUUUUACUAUGGGACCAACCACGAAAUCGCAAAAAAAAAUUACCCUCCCAUAGAAAAUGGACCAGCCAAAAUGUAUGAAACAGCCAAAUUAUUGUAAACUCGCGCGCCUAGAAGAUGUUGAUGUCAACUUUAGCCAUUCUUCUUCGAGACCACGGGGACAACGCCGUCCUCAAAACGUCGGAGGUGAAUUUAAAACUUAGUUUACGCGAUUAAGUCCCGUCGUUGUGAAUAACAAUGAGCCAAAUUAUUUUUCGCGUUUCCGUGGUUGGUCCCAUAGUAAAAGUUGCUCAGUAUAAUCCCAAAACCUCCCUGGCAAUGGGAAUGUACUUAUUUUUAGCCACGGUGAAUACGAGCAUACCUAUAGCGUUGUCUCGCACUUACACUGGAGCGUCGUGAGUAUAUGGUUCAGUGUGAUAAUCGCGUAAUGACGUUGAAAUAUUUUUAUAACUGUUUGUUUUGUAGCAUUGUAUUGUAACUCAUUAGGUAUAGUAAUAUAAAUUAUAUAU
Molecule: long non-coding RNA, 3640 nt
Organism: Cydia strobilella
Lineage: Eukaryota; Metazoa; Arthropoda; Insecta; Lepidoptera; Tortricidae
Exons: 2
Source: RefSeq, a predicted model, not a curated record